GGUUCACGGAGGUGUUGGUGACUGCCAAUAAUGUUUUUUGAUCUAUGUCUUAUUGAAUUAGGGAACCUACUAUGGCGGGUCGCGGUAGACUGAGCUUGUACUCAGAAACUAUAGAUCUUCUAGAACGGUACCCACCUGGUUUUGACCAGGUCUAAAGCUGAGGUAAGACGGCACUGCGGUGAACCC
Molecule: non-coding RNA, 186 nt
Filed under: Leptolyngbyaceae cyanobacterium LF-bin-369
Lineage: Bacteria; Bacillati; Cyanobacteriota; Cyanophyceae; Leptolyngbyales; Leptolyngbyaceae
Description: 6S / SsrS RNA
Rfam family: 6S / SsrS RNA
About the family: E. coli 6S RNA was the first non coding RNA to be sequenced, but its function was unknown until recently. It consists of 184 nucleotides that fold into an extended hairpin structure with a large single-stranded internal bulge.
Source: Rfam by way of RNAcentral